This 341-nucleotide long non-coding RNA is filed under the name Phoenix dactylifera (date palm). RNAcentral's name for it is "long non-coding RNA (PDAC_LNC021742)". The record is from RNAcentral. Lineage: Eukaryota; Viridiplantae; Streptophyta; Magnoliopsida; Arecales; Arecaceae.
UUGAUUCAGGUGAUGGAUUUUGGCGUGACACAAAAAGAGUAGCAAAACCAAGAAAAGAAAACGAGAAAGAAAGAGGGAUCUCAUAUCUUUCACAACCACACUGCAGCAAAAAGCAUUUAUACCAUUCAUAACAUGAAGCUCGGUAUAUUUUAAGCAAUACUUUUACAAACACUGACCACUAUCAACGGCCUGUCAAGGGAGCAGAUUCCGUGGUUGAUGCCGAGCAGGCUAACAUGUUAAGCAGCGAACUAUCUGACAUGCCAAUAUCAUCAAAGCCUUCCUUCCCAAUAGCUGAAAUUUCGGCUUGCCAACCAUCUCCAGUCAUCCCAGGAAGGGGAGCC